This 490-nucleotide long non-coding RNA is filed under the name Mustela putorius furo (domestic ferret). RNAcentral's name for it is "lncRNA (ENSMPUG00000029438.1)". Lineage: Eukaryota; Metazoa; Chordata; Mammalia; Carnivora; Mustelidae. The record is from RNAcentral.
GCUCUGUGCUGCUGGCCAACUCUGCAGGGCUGAGAGCUGCUCCCUACCCUGCCUGUCUGACUUGGCCUGGCUAAAGCCCUCUGAUCUCUGUUGGACUUUCACUUGGCACCUUAGUUUACUAAGUCCUGUUUCUGCUCCUGCCCUGGUUACCGACGCUCAACCAGAAUCCUUUAUUGCAUCUGCCACUUUCUCGCCAUCUCUGCUUAUCCACAAAGGGUCUUUGAGUGGAAUGUUCUUAUCACGUGGUUAUGGGUUCCGAGCUGUCUGCUGGGGCUUUAAUAUGAGGCUGAGGACUUUUAUCAUACUGCUGGCAGCAGGAGGUAUCUGGAAGAGAGGAAGAGGAGGACCACAAUGGAGUGUGAUUCAGCUUCUUGAUGCUGAAUCCUGUAAAAGAGAAGGAGACCCACCCCGAGCCAUGGGAGCACUGCCAACCUGGGUCUGCCUUGGGAGCUAUGAAAGCCUUUCAGGAGGACAUGAUGUCUGAACUAAG